CGUCUACUCCCUCCGUCCCACAAUAUAUGACUUUUAUUUGUUAAAAUAUAGAUGUAUUUAGACAUGUUUUAGUAUAUAGAUACAUCUAUUUUUGAAUAAAUGGAAGUUAAUUAUUUUGAAACGGAGAGAGUAUCUA
This is a non-coding RNA of Triticum urartu, 136 nucleotides long. The record is from Rfam. Lineage: Eukaryota; Viridiplantae; Streptophyta; Magnoliopsida; Poales; Poaceae.